RNAcentral lists this unclassified non-coding RNA (283 nucleotides) under plant metagenome. RNAcentral describes it as "partial contains small subunit ribosomal RNA, internal transcribed spacer 1, and 5.8S ribosomal RNA". The record is from RNAcentral.
GGAAGUAAAAGCCGUAACAAGGGCUCCGUUGGUGAACCAGCGGAGGGAUCAUACCGAGUUUACAACUCCCAAACCCAAUGUGAACGUUACCCACCUGUUGCCUCGGCUGGAUCUCUGCCCCGGGUGCGUCGCAGCCCCGGACCAAGGCGCCCGCCGUAGGACCAACCAAAACUCUUAUUGUACACCCCCGCGCGGGUUUUUUUAUACUCUGAGCCUUCUCGGCGCCUCUCGUAGGCGUUUCGAAAAUGAAUCAAAACUUUCAACAACGGAUCUCUUGGUUCUG